GCUUACGGCCACACCGCCUGGUUCACGCUUGAUCUCGGAAGCUAAGAUAGGUUGGGCCUGGUUAGUACUUGGAUGGGAGACCGCCUGGGAAUACCAGAUGCUGUAAGCU
Molecule: ribosomal RNA, 109 nt
Organism: Scophthalmus maximus (turbot)
Lineage: Eukaryota; Metazoa; Chordata; Actinopteri; Pleuronectiformes; Scophthalmidae
Source: Ensembl